This 1095-nucleotide long non-coding RNA is filed under the name Dromaius novaehollandiae (emu). Its description in RNAcentral is "lncRNA (ENSDNVG00000017208.1)". Lineage: Eukaryota; Metazoa; Chordata; Aves; Casuariiformes; Dromaiidae. The record is from RNAcentral.
AAAAGGCAUUUUACCUGCCUGAUCACUGACAGAUGUGAGACUGAGCAAGACAGACGCAAACCACCUAAAGGAUUUUGAUGUGGAAAAUAUGUGAUGAGCAGGUAUGCAAGUAAGCCUGACUCCUUCAACACUCUAAAAGAUAUGGAAGAAUUGCAGUUCAUAGAUAUUUGGCUACUGAUUUAACCACUAAUGACAUGUAUGGUCUGCCUCCUUGGAAAAGUCUCUUCGCAGCUCCGUACUUUGAUUUCCCUCCUUGUAAAACUGACUACAGAUAUUUCUACCCCUUGUGAGACGGUUCAAGGAAGUUUCAGGAGAAGGAUGCUAUAUAACGAACAAAGAGACACAAGACAAAAAGCUGGGAAAGGAUCCUGGAAUGCAGGGACCGAUACUCAAUGGCUGCUGGGGAAGAGACAGACAGUUGCUCUCUGUUUGAGCCAUCCUUUGGUCAGAGCAGCAACACAAGGUGCUCCAAGCAAAAAGCAGGGAUCAGCUGCUCGAGCCAUAUCAGCUGCUGGAAAAGUCAAUCCCCAUACUAUCGAGUCCAUACAAAGUAAUUGCUGGCAGUCAUGUGCCUCCCAGCAGUGUGAUUACUUGGCAGUCUCCUGACCUAAACAGUUUCCUGUUUUGCCUAAGCCUAAAGCCAUCCCUGAAUCCAAAUUCCCAGUUUGGCAGAUGAUGGGACGAAUAGGUAUGACAAAGGCUCAGUGACAUUAUGGACAGGCCUAGAGUCAGGCUUUUGGGUGUCUAUGGGUCUCUACUAAUAGUGAUGUAAUGACAGAGGGAUGUAGCUAUCAACAGCAUAUGCAGCAAGUGAGGGAGAGCUGGAGGAUUCUGUGUAUAUACAUACAGCAUCAAUUAUUUCCUGCAUUCUUCUGUGGCUGUAGCUGUAUGUAACUUGUUGUAACUGGAAUGCAACUUUUUUUAUCUGAAAGCACUUAGGGCCAAUGCAUUGAUCCACAUGUAGCGGAAUGAAAACCAACCUUAAAAACAUAGUAAACAGCACCAAAUAUUUAUAAGUAUUUAAAAAUAUUGAUAAAUAAUUGAUCAACAGACAGAAGGAGCAUACAGAAAAUAAAUUCUUCGUAAGAAAUUCCA